This 1027-nucleotide ribosomal RNA is filed under the name Trachelomonas armata. RNAcentral describes it as "partial large subunit ribosomal RNA". It matches the Rfam family "Eukaryotic large subunit ribosomal RNA", at positions 2173 to 2960 of the family's 3401-position model. The record is from RNAcentral. Lineage: Eukaryota; Euglenozoa; Euglenophyceae; Euglenales; Euglenaceae.
AGCUGGCUGGCCCAUGAGGUGACUUCUGCCCAGUGCUCUGAUUGUCAAUGCGAAGAGAUUCAGCCAAGCGCGGGUAAACGGCGGGAGUAACUAUGACUCUCUUAAGGUAGCCAAAUGCCUCGUCAACCAAUUAUUGACGCGCAUGAAUGGAUCAACGAGAUUCCUGCUGUCCCUAGUUGCCGCCUGGUGAACCAACAGCCAAGGGAACGGGCUUGGGUGUGUCAGCGGGGAAAGAAGACCCUGUUGAGUUUGACUCUAGUUUGCUGCUGUGCAGUGACAUGAUGGGUGUAGCACAGGUGGGAGGCAAGUGCCCCCUCCCCCAAGCGGAGGGAGAUUCCCUUCGGAAGGAGGCCAGUCGUCAAUCGAAUCCACAUGCAGAGGAAGAGGAGCUCCGCACCUGCUGGAGGAGCGAGCGGCGCAAGCCAACAGUGAAAUACCACUACCUUCACAGUCACUUUACUCAUUGAGUUGCCUGGGAACAGUCCGCCAUACAUGAACGGCCCGUCCUGAGGGGGCUCCGCCCCACCAUGGAUGGGCUGUGGCCCAUCACUGGCUUCAUGUGCCAAGUGGACCACCAGUGUCCCCCUCGUGGGGCCUGCGUGGAAUCCUCUGUGACCCUGGAAAGAGUGCAGUCCAAUCAGAAGCCUCAAGACACAGAUCAGAUUGGGAGUUUGGCUGGGGCGGCACGCCUGUUACAACACAACGCAGGUGUCCUGAAGCAGUGCUCAGAUGGAACAGAAAUCUCUCGCAGAGGAGUAGGUCACAGGUGCUGCUGAUGCAGCGACUUCCAGAGUGCAAGUCCAGAACAUGGAAGUGUGGCCUAUCGAUCCUUUGGUCAAGCACACGAGUUUGGGAUAAUCAAAGCCAGAGGUGUCAGAAAAAUUACCACAGGGAUAACUGGCUUGUGGCAGCCAAGAGUUCAGAUCGACGUUGCUUUUUGAUCCUUCGAUGUCGGCUCUUCCUAGCUUGCCACCUGCAGCCGAGUGCAAGAGUGGAUGUUCACCCACCAACAGGGAACGUGAGCUGG